Molecule: transfer RNA, 67 nt
Filed under: Strigota ambigua
Lineage: Eukaryota; Metazoa; Arthropoda; Insecta; Coleoptera; Staphylinidae
Description: tRNA-Leu
Source: RNAcentral
UUCUAAUAUGGCAGAUUAGUGCAAUGGAUUUAAGCCCCAUAUAUAAAGUUUUUUACUUUUUUUAGAA